Molecule: ribosomal RNA, 492 nt
Filed under: uncultured bacterium
Lineage: Bacteria
Description: bacterial SSU rRNA
Rfam family: Bacterial small subunit ribosomal RNA
Source: RNAcentral
GAUGAACGCUAGCUACAGGCUUAACACAUGCAAGUCGCGGGGUAACAUCUGGUAGAGCUUGCUCUUCCAGGAUGACGACCGGCGCACGGGUGAGUAACGCGUAUCCAACCUGGCCCAUACCACGGGAUAGCCCGUCGAAAGGCGGAUUAAUACCGUAUGCUGUCAUUAAGAUGCAUAUAUUGAUGACGAAAGGACUGGCGGUAUGGGAUGGGGAUGCGUCUGAUUAGCUUGUUGGCGGGGUAACGGCCCACCAAGGCGACGAUCAGUAGGGGUUCUGAGAGGAAGGUCCCCCACAUUGGAACUGAGACACGGUCCAAACUCCUACGGGAGGCAGCAGUGAGGAAUAUUGGUCCAAUGGGGCGCAAGCCUGAACCAGCCAAGUAGCGUGAGGGAAGACUGCCCUACGGGUUGUAAACCUCUUUGUCGGGGAGUAACGUGCGGGACGGGUCCCGUAUUGAGAGUACCCGAGAAAAAGCAUCGGCUAACUCCGUG